GGAAAUGCUAAUAUGGAUUAUAUCAUAUAUAGCAGAAUUGAAUCAAUGAAACACAAUCGUAUCAUAUAAUUUCAAUGACAAACCUCUCUUUUUUACAAUGUAGUAAUUACUAAGUGAUGAAUAUUGAAUAUACAUACAAGGCUUGACAACAGGGACUCUCUCACCAGGCAAGAAUAUGAUGUAGAAGAAAGAGUCGGACCCUCUACUCAAAACUGAUUCCAAACGCAUUAGUUCUAUUCACAGGAUAUUGAGGAGUUGAGCCUUAUCUCCAAGCUCAUGGGCUAUCCGGAGAAGGGGUUAUGUCCCUGAAAACCUGCAACCUGUGUUUCUUCCUCAUAUUGAAGCCAUUCUUGCCAUCAAAACAUAAAGAUCGCCGCACUGUUGGAUUCCUUGGUGAAACAGCAUUGCUGAAUGUAUCGUAGCCAUCCUUCAGAUCAAAUGCUUCCAACUUUUGGUUUAUAGCUUCUACUGGACUCUUAGGACAAGUAGUUUGAUGAACUAUAUUGGAAUCCUGAUUUUCAUCAUUAGAUUCUUCUUCAUAAUUCCAAUCAUCAUCAAAAUAAGGGCUCAGAUCUUUUCCAGUUAAUAAUUUCUCUUCUUCUUCUUCAACCAUAUCUGCCCAACUUUUAUUAGCAGAUUUGGUUGAGCUGUUCUUUCCAAGACUCACCUUUCCAGAAUCAUUCAUACCAAAACUCUGACCCCAUUUGCCAUCAAUGGAAGUUUCUGAUUGUCUUCUUGCAUCAUCAACAACUAUGGUUUGCUCCAGGUGAAAUUUAGGACUGACAUCACUUUCUUCAUCUGUAGAUCCCAUCUGGCUACCACUUUCCAUGGCAUUCCUUCUCCAGCUUGCCUGCUGUGAAUCAGACUUGAUCACAUUUUUAUCUUUCACAUGGGUGUCAUCAUAUCCACUAAAGGUCCUUAUCCUGGGUUGUGAAAACUGAUGUAGCACUGUUACUCCUGUGAUCUUCCCAUGGGCAACCUCUGUCCUUGACUUUGAUAGUUCAGCUUCUGAAUUCUCAUCUGUUGAAUCUAGUUCUCCAUCAAGAUUCUGGACAGUACAACUACAAGCUAACAAAUUUUCAGAUGGUUUCUCAACUGUAUACUCUUCCCAUCCUACCCUUCUCUGGUCUCCUUCAGCAAACCUCCCCGAAACUCUUUUUGGUUGCGUAUAUAGAACAGCUGCAGGGGAAUCUAGCAUUUUCUUGUUUGCUGAACCUAGUCCUUUUCCACUGGAACCAAUUGAAUUUUCUUUCAUUUUGUUGGAAAAGGUAGACCUUUCACCUGGGCUUUCAAAAUAAUGACCUUUCCUCCAUUCACUGUCAACUCCAUUUUGUUGAGAAGACAAUGAACUACCUGUCAGUCCAGAUGAUAAGCAUUUUGAACUCCUGUUAUUAAAUUCAAAGAAGUUUCCCUGGUUCUCAGGGUGGAUUCCAAAAUAAGAUCCUCUAUUAUGGUUAUCUGAUAGCAAAGGUUCAAUAAUCUGUCCAUCUGUCCACCUUCUGGAGUCCAUGAAACCAGAAACGUAACCACGACCUCCUUCAGUAGAGCUAGUAACUUCUUUCAGCUUUCUGGUGAUAGGCGAUGUCAAAGAUCUUUGGUUCUCUUUGUCCUCUUCAGUUGGUUUUAACAUUGAUUUUGACUCUAAUUCAGUCAGCAUCUCAACAGCACGCUCGAAGGAUUUAGCAUAGGAAUCGUCCAUCUGUUUGUGUCCACAUGAAUCACUUACAGCCUGAAGCAGAGAUUUUGCUUCAGGAAUUCUGUUCAUAUGCAGCAAGCAGAUUGCCAAGUUGCACCGCUUGUUCUUAUCUGGCUCCAAGGACAGAGCUUUCCUGCAAAAUAUAUUUUUUUAAUGAAAAUUAGCCUAUUACAUUUAGAUUAAACUUAAUAGUUUCUGUCAAGUUAUAUUUGAGUGAAGAACAAAACUUACCUGUAAUGCUGUUCAGCCAAACCAUAAUCAUGAUGCUGCAAGUAAGCCCAGGCCAAGUUCCCUAAUAUCCUGUAUCAGUUAAGUUACAAAGUGGAAUAACGUCCAGAGAUGUAUGGUUAAAAGAAGACAUAAAAAGAACAAUCUAAUAGAGAUUGUAUUCCACCUUGAUCUUUCUUGUUCAAUGGUUAUUUGAAUCUUCUUCCCUUGAGAUCUUGCAAUCUUUGUCCUCUUUCCACCAAAAGCUAUACCUUCUUCUAUGUUCUUCAGUUUGCGAUGCAGCAUUUCAAUCUCCUCAUCAAUUCUUCCAGACCUCUGAAAUAUUCAGACCAAUGUGAAGAUGAAAUACAUUACAACUCCAUAUAGCAACAUUAAUAGACAUCAUAAAACCCUCAGUUGCACACAAAAGACGGAACAAGUUUCCUCUUAAACAGGAAAUCAGUCACACAGACAAAAAGAAUACAUGUUUCUUUGACAUUUCCUUCUGAUUAUAAUUAUAUGCCUACAAUGUCAAACAAAUUGCUCAGUUUCUAGUGUGCAUUAGUUGAAUGCAUUUAUAUGGUUCCUUACUUAAACUGCUUGUUUCUUAUGUGACUUCUAACCAAGUUUGAGUUCCAUUCUCUUUAGAAGUCCCAUCACAAAACUUGAGCUCACCAGUAGCAUAGUAAGACAUUAAAACUCUGCAAACACUUGAAGAAGUAAAAUUCAUAAUCUUUGAUUCCUUGUAAAUUCUAUGCACAGCUUUUUAAUACAAGCUAGUCUCAUGAAAUGUCACUCUCCCAAAACGUCACUCUCAUAAAUUCUAUGCACAGCUUUUUGAGAAUCAAUUCAUUAUUUACAUUAAUCUAAUAAACUAGAAGGGAAUUAAUUAAUGAUAAACGACUUGGAUAGAUUCCUAUUAUAUAUAUGAAAUAAAAUAUAUAAUAAAUAUUUUAUCAAUGAAAUUUAAUUUUAUAAUAAUAGAGCUGUCUCUAAAUUUAUAUCUUAAUUUAAAUUUUAAUUAAAUUUAUAUCUUACCAUGUCAUGCAUAUGAUGUGGUGUAAAAACCAAUAAAAUGAAUACACAUCAAUUAUUAACUAAUUAAUUUUUUUAUUCAAAAUUCUAAUGGAUAAUUGUAAACACAGUUUGUUUUUCCUUUUUCAAAGCAGUUUUUUCAAAGCAGUUUUUACCCCUGUGUCUUAAUCUUACAGGUUAGGGCACUACGUCAUUGUACACUGACUUCAUGCAAUAAUUUCCCCCUUGAUUUGGAGCAACCAAAGAGGAUGCGUACAGUCAUUUCCCAUUGACUAAAAAUAAGGUCCUGGCCGUUUAUUUUCUUUCUUGCCAAUAAAGUUAACUUAUUUGGUUAAAUUAAA
RNAcentral lists this unclassified non-coding RNA (3279 nucleotides) under Hevea brasiliensis (rubber tree). The record is from RNAcentral. Lineage: Eukaryota; Viridiplantae; Streptophyta; Magnoliopsida; Malpighiales; Euphorbiaceae.